Molecule: ribosomal RNA, 194 nt
Filed under: Staphylococcus aureus
Lineage: Bacteria; Bacillati; Bacillota; Bacilli; Caryophanales; Staphylococcaceae
Description: partial 23S ribosomal RNA
Rfam family: Bacterial large subunit ribosomal RNA
Source: RNAcentral
GAUUAAGUUAUUAAGGGCGCACGGUGGAUGCCUUGGCACUAGAAGCCGAUGAAGGACGUUACUAACAACGAUAUGCUUUGGGGAGCUGUAAGUAAGCUUUGAUCCAGAGAUUUCCGAAUGGGGAAACCCAGCAUGAGUUAUGUCAUGUUAUCGAUAUGUGAAUACAUAGCAUAUCAGAAGGCACACCCGGAGAA